CCACCCGCCGGUGUGCGGCGCCGGCCGCUGCCCGCCUCGGCGACGGUGGCGGCUCCGGUAGGCCCCACCCAGACUCCAGAGCCACCUUGAGACGCAUGCGCUGCGCACUCCCAACCACGCGCACCACGGCUCUGAGAGUUCACCUGUGAUUGGAUGCCUGCCGGAGGGCUCAAAGUAACGGGGCCAGUGAUUGGAGGAGAGCCGGGUCGGCCGUUGUCUCGGCAACCAGGUGCACGCGUUCCCUCAGCCGCCGGUACCGCCGAGGGCCGCAGGGAGCCGGCGGGCAGCGGGGUGCGGACGGGGGGCACCCCCGUGCCUCGCGUCCUGUCACCGAGCGGCUCCUCCCGCCCCUGUCCGCCGAUCGCUCCUCAGCGCUUCAGCUGAGAGGGUGGCCCCGUGGAGCGAACGGAUGAGGUGCCCGAGUCGGUAAACGGGGACAGCCCGCAGAAGCGAUUUAACGGCACUGAGCGCCCCUUAAAGCCCCCUCACGAGCAGUGCUGCUGCACAGUGCUUGUAUUCCCUCUGCUUCUUAAAUAAAACCGAAGUUAAAUGCAGAAGUGGCUGCUGUUUUCUUGGCUUGAACACUGCACUAACGUUAGAUUUGCCUUUAACUUACAUAUGCCAUUUAAACCGAAAGCUGGGGUUGUAGUUACAUGUUUCCUCUAUCUCCAGAUUUUAGGUUUCAAGACGUCUUCCAGUCUUUAUAAACACCACAGGAAAGUAAUCCCAAACUGGGGGGGAACAAAAAGGAUUUCACUCUCAAGCAAGGAGGUUUCAGUAUAAACUCCUUCAGAAUAAACCUCUGGAUUUCUGCGAGCAAAGCAACACCAUUUCUGGCCAGACAGUGCUUGUGUCCAAACCCACAGGAGGAUUAAAUGGGGAAAAAUUGGAAAACGGCCUUCUCUGUUGAGCCCUGAGCUGGGAAGAAAGAUGCUGCUGGUGAUUUUGGUUCUGAUACUGUGGGGUGCAGAGCACCAUCUCACACAAGUUCAGGUCACCCAGAGCUUCUUAAGGCACAUCUGAUUUAAGCUAGUGUCAGGACACUGCUGAGUCCCCCUUCCAAGAGCUCUGGGUAGGUCCCUUUGAACCUCUGCUGAGAAACCAUCCAGAAACAGUCCCGACAGUUUCGGGUAGCCAUAAGGAAUCACUACAACACCCCACAAUAAACUGCAGAUGCCAGAGGCUUCAGGAGAAGCUGCAUUAGUGCAUAAUGUACCAAGAUCCACAGUCCUGUAGCUGCAGUAGUGUGCUCCUGGCCCAUUGCCUGGCGAGGUUUCAGACCUGGAGUGGGAGGGCACGUAGCCAUGUAGUUAUCUUACAUGUUAGACCAUGUGUGAGUUCUCCCCCUGUAUGUGCUUUAAAAUGGCCAAUAUCUCCCUACAUUCCUAUGAUCAGGACUAAGUUUAGUGUCACCUUAUCAGUGUCCCUCGAAAUAAGCUCUGCCCAGGACAGCACUUUUUAAAUCCAGAAGUGAUUUCCCCACACAGUCCUGUUGUACCGGUUCUUUUUCCUUCUGUUACAUUCACUGACUGAUGCACUCUCCUUCCUCAGUGCCACUGUUGCAGCCCUGUUUGUUAUUUACAUCCUUUCCUUGUUUGUCUUGUAGGUCACUACAGCCAUGCCCUCAUCCAGGUGUCUCCCAAAGGUGUAACAUCUUGCUUCAAGCCAAAGACCUCCCGCCUGACAAAGAUGUAUGGAUUUACUGCGGAGCCUGCAGCCCGUCAGCCACAUAAACCUACCAAGGGAGCAAAGAAAACUCCUUCCAGGUCAGUCCAGCCUGGACAAGAUGCCGCUUUCACGGGGCGUGGGGCAAUGUGUCAGAGACCAGAGUGCUCCCGCAGUGUCCCACUGCAUCCCCUGGCCCAAUGGGGCCGGUUAUUGCCAGGGACAGGCUCAGAGGUGGAAGCGUUACAGUGCACUGCCUCGGAGGGGAGUGUGGGUUGAUAACACCCUGGAGCACUGUAUCAGAGGUACCUUUAUCAGACCAUCUCUCAGACAUUUACAAACAGUAAUUAAACACUGCACCACCCUUAUGA
Molecule: long non-coding RNA, 2036 nt
Organism: Pezoporus occidentalis (night parrot)
Lineage: Eukaryota; Metazoa; Chordata; Aves; Psittaciformes; Psittacidae
Exons: 2
Source: RefSeq, a predicted model, not a curated record